RNAcentral lists this long non-coding RNA (966 nucleotides) under Salvia miltiorrhiza (redroot sage). Its description in RNAcentral is "long non-coding RNA (SMIL_LNC002573)". Lineage: Eukaryota; Viridiplantae; Streptophyta; Magnoliopsida; Lamiales; Lamiaceae. The record is from RNAcentral.
AAGAAGCUGGCCGGAUUCCGGCGAGAAGGGGAGGCUGAAUGGUGAAGGUGGGCCCCACAUUUAAUUAAAAUAAUAAAAAAAACGGUUGACUAACGGAAAAAUUAACGCCGUUUGGUCAGAGGGGCCUAAUUGCACGGUUUUUUUUAGUUCGGGGGUUUAGUUGCACACAUAGUGAGUAAGGUGGUCUAUACGCUAUAAGGGCUACCACUAGAAGGCUCUAUCUGCACAUUUUCCUUUUUUUUCUCAUUAGCCUAUAAAUACUAGAACUUUUUCUAUUUUUGAUUUUGCACCCUAACUUUAAAAUAUACCUAUAAAUACCUAAAUUUUGCAUUUUUUUUCUUCUUCUAAUUUUUCACCCAACAAAUAUUUACUCCCAAAUCGUUGCUAACAUGAUAGUCGGAUUGAGAGGGAACUUUGAAGUGCAUAAUGAAGCCGAUAAUUUUGUUGUUAAUGUGAGAUCUAGAAUAUAUAAUUGUAGGAUUUGGGAUGUCAAUUCGAUUGUCAUGUUAGCAACGUUUUGGGGGUAAAAAUUUGGUGGGUGUAAAAUAAAAGAGAAUACAAAGUUCAGGUAUUUAUUGACAGAUUUUAAAGUUAAAGUGCAAAACCAGAAAAUGAAAAAAGUUCGAGUAUUUACGAGCGAAUACUUCUUUUUAUUUUAGGUUUUUGGAAAUCAUUGCUAAAAUCUUGUUUCGACCUCAAUAAUCGUACGACUGAAAUUACAUAGCAAAAAUGUGGAUCAGGAUUCAGUAUCUCCAAUGGCAUUGAUUUAUUUGUUUGGUACUUCAUUUGUUUUUGAGGUUUCAUGCAAACCAGAGUGGUCGUGUCUAAAAGCACUCCGUUGUUGAAAAUUGGAUGGUGUUGGAUUAUUUGUAACAUUCAACAAGGCCAAUUAAAAUUAUCAAGAAAUGCUUUUUCAUUAUAUCUCUUUAUCCACAUUGGCUUGUAGUGUUAAAGUCAUCAACAGGC